UCUAAUAUGGCAGAUUAGUGCAAUGAAUUUAAGCUUCAUAAAUAAGAAUUUAUUUCUUUAUUAGAA
This 66-nucleotide transfer RNA is filed under the name Hippotiscus dorsalis. RNAcentral's name for it is "tRNA-Leu". Lineage: Eukaryota; Metazoa; Arthropoda; Insecta; Hemiptera; Pentatomidae. The record is from RNAcentral.